This 204-nucleotide ribosomal RNA is filed under the name uncultured bacterium. RNAcentral's name for it is "partial 16S ribosomal RNA". It matches the Rfam family "Bacterial small subunit ribosomal RNA", at positions 524 to 726 of the family's 1533-position model. The record is from RNAcentral.
UACGGGGGGGGGCAAGCGUUGUUCGGAAUUACUGGGCGUAAAGGGCGCGUAGGCGGCCUGGCAAGUGGAAGGUGAAAUCCCUCGGCUUAACCGAGGAACUGCCCUCCAAACUGCUUGGCUUGAGUCCGGGAGAGGUGAGUGGAAUUCCCAGUGUAGCGGUGAAAUGCGUAGAUAUUGGGAAGAACACCGGUGGCGAAGGCGGCU